This 435-nucleotide ribosomal RNA is filed under the name Triticum aestivum (bread wheat). Its description in RNAcentral is "partial small subunit ribosomal RNA". Lineage: Eukaryota; Viridiplantae; Streptophyta; Magnoliopsida; Poales; Poaceae. The record is from RNAcentral.
AUGCGCGACGCCCCGUCGAGCUGGCCGGCGGCGGCGAGGGCGGCAACAAGGGCCCGGGGCAGGGCGGUGGCGCGGUUCGUGCAGACCAGGCACCGCUCCUCCGGCAAGGUGCUCGGCGAGGAGGAGACGGCCGCCGAGAACGUCUACAUCAAGUCAAGUGCUGUUCUUGGUGGAGUUGCGCCUCCAGUGCGCUCUUCGGGCUGCUCGGAGCCAUGCUGUCAGAGCUCUUCAUCAACUGGGCCAUCUACACCAACAAGGAGGGUGCAUCUCCAACCAAUUCUGCAGCGGUGCUACCGGACGCAAGGGUGGAGAAUGCGCCUCCUUGCCGAAGCUUCUCGCUCUAGCGGUCUGGUGCUGGUGAUCUCAGCCCGUAUAGAUGGAUUGGCCAGCAGCUGUGUAUACGGCAGCGGCGCUGCUGUACUACUACACCUAUGA